RNAcentral lists this long non-coding RNA (206 nucleotides) under Suricata suricatta (meerkat). RNAcentral describes it as "lncRNA (ENSSSUG00005017507.1)". The record is from RNAcentral. Lineage: Eukaryota; Metazoa; Chordata; Mammalia; Carnivora; Herpestidae.
AUCUGUAAGUGAGUAGAUGAUAGCGCCUUCCUAAUAGUGUUGGGAUGCCUAGUGUGCUUUGUUCUGGCAAUGGCGGUAUUUCGCAGCCUCCUUUCCUUCUGCACCCUCGACUUCUCCAGGACUGUGUGGAGGUGGAGGCAGUGACCCCUUGGCUCCUGGCAGCAGGGCCCUAUGCAUAAUCAACGUUUGUAUCAACUUUCUGUAAA